GGUUGAUCCUGCCAGUAGUCAUAUGCUUGUCUCAAAGAUUAAGCCAUGCAUGUGUAAGUAUAAGUAUUGUACGGCGAAACUGCGAAUGGCUCAUUAAAUCAGUUAUUGUUUAUUUGAUAAUCGAAAGUUACAUGGAUAACCGUGACAAAUUACAGCUAAUACAUGCAACAAGACCACGCAAGUGGUUGUAAUUAUUAGUAUUAAACCAAUUCCUUCGGGAAUGUGAUGAAUCAUAGUAAUCGAACGAAUCGCAGAUUUCUGCGAUAAAUCAUUCAAGUUUCUGCCCUAUCAG
RNAcentral lists this ribosomal RNA (292 nucleotides) under uncultured eukaryote. Its description in RNAcentral is "partial 18S ribosomal RNA". It matches the Rfam family "Eukaryotic small subunit ribosomal RNA", at positions 6 to 318 of the family's 1831-position model. The record is from RNAcentral.